UCGAGAAUCAUUCGCAAUGGGCGCAAGCCUGACGGUGCGACGUCGCGUGGAGGAUGAAGGUCUUCGGAUUGUAAACUCCUGUCAUGUGGGAUAAAUGGCCAGGGCAUGAAUAGUGCCUUGGAAUGAUAGUACCACAGGAGGAAGGGACGGCUAACUCUGUGCCAGCAGCCGCGGUAAUUCAGAGGUCCCGAGCGUUGUUCGGAUUUACUGGGCGUAAAGGGAGCGUAGGCGGUUUGGUGUGUCGAAUGUGAAAGCCCACAACUCAACUGUGGAGUGACAUUCGAAACUACUGAGCUAGAGUACUGGAGAGGAGAGCGGAAUUCUUGGUGUAGCGGUGAAAUGCGUAGAUAUCAAGAGGAACACCGGUGGCGAAGGCGGCUCUCUGGACAGAUACUGACGCUGAGGCUCUAAAGUUAGGGUAGCAAACAG
This 429-nucleotide ribosomal RNA is filed under the name uncultured bacterium. RNAcentral's name for it is "bacterial SSU rRNA". It matches the Rfam family "Bacterial small subunit ribosomal RNA", at positions 355 to 775 of the family's 1533-position model. The record is from RNAcentral.